GGUAUGAGUAUAAAGCAGUGAGACUGAUUUGAGAUGUGCAGCUGCUGGAAUCAGUUUCGUUACUUUCUACUCUCACCU
Molecule: microRNA precursor, 78 nt
Filed under: Ictidomys tridecemlineatus (thirteen-lined ground squirrel)
Lineage: Eukaryota; Metazoa; Chordata; Mammalia; Rodentia; Sciuridae
Description: miRNA (ENSSTOG00000031666.1)
Source: RNAcentral